Molecule: non-coding RNA, 29 nt
Filed under: Rattus norvegicus (Norway rat)
Lineage: Eukaryota; Metazoa; Chordata; Mammalia; Rodentia; Muridae
Source: RNAcentral
UUCUAAAGUUUUUGAAGUAUCCAACUGAG